UACGUAGGGCGCAAGCGUUGUCCGGAAUUAUUGGGCGUAAAGAGCUCGUAGGCGGUUUGUCGCGUCUGGUGUGAAGACUCAAGGCUCAACCUUGAGCUUGCAUCGGGUACGGGCAGACUAGAGUGCGGUAGGGGUGACUGGAAUUCCUGGUGUAGCGGUGGAAUGCGCAGAUAUCAGGAGGAACACCGAUGGCGAAGGCAGGUCACUGGGCCGCAACUGACGCUGAGGAGCGAAAGCAUGGGGAGCGAACAGG
RNAcentral lists this ribosomal RNA (253 nucleotides) under uncultured bacterium. RNAcentral's name for it is "partial 16S ribosomal RNA". It matches the Rfam family "Bacterial small subunit ribosomal RNA", at positions 524 to 776 of the family's 1533-position model. The record is from RNAcentral.